RNAcentral lists this long non-coding RNA (301 nucleotides) under Androctonus crassicauda. Lineage: Eukaryota; Metazoa; Arthropoda; Arachnida; Scorpiones; Buthidae. The record is from RNAcentral.
AAAUAAAAUUAUCUUUUCUUAAACUUAAUUUUCAAUUUGUGUCUAAACAGGUUUCAUGUACAUUCUCCAAAGGAAGGGUUGUAAUAAACAAUGGCAGCAACUGACAGAUCACACCAGGCAGCUCAAACAAUAGCUACACUGCUGAUUAUAAGACAUAUCAAGAAUUGUGAGACAAUGUUGAAUUGUUCCUUUCAAGCAUUGAAUGUUUUUCUUUUUUCCCAGAAUGUAUCUCAAAUUAGAACAGAGAUAAAUAUAACAAAUUUUUUACAAAGAUGGAUUUUACAGAUUAUACUAUUUCUUG